RNAcentral lists this ribosomal RNA (253 nucleotides) under uncultured bacterium. RNAcentral describes it as "partial 16S ribosomal RNA". It matches the Rfam family "Bacterial small subunit ribosomal RNA", at positions 524 to 776 of the family's 1533-position model. The record is from RNAcentral.
UACGGAGGGUGCAAGCGUUAUCCGGAUUCACUGGGUUUAAAGGGUGCGUAGGUGGGUUGGUAAGUCAGUGGUGAAAUCCCCGAGCUUAACUUGGGAACUGCCAUUGAUACUAUCAGUCUUGAAUAUUGUGGAGGUUAGCGGAAUAUGUCAUGUAGCGGUGAAAUGCCUAGAUAUGACAUAGAACACCAAUUGCGAAGGCAGCUGGCUACGCAUAUAUUGACACUGAGGCACGAAAGCGUGGGGAUCAAACAGG